RNAcentral lists this ribosomal RNA (490 nucleotides) under uncultured bacterium. RNAcentral describes it as "bacterial SSU rRNA". It matches the Rfam family "Bacterial small subunit ribosomal RNA", at positions 505 to 992 of the family's 1533-position model. The record is from RNAcentral.
GUGCCAGCAGCCGCGGUAAUACGUAGGGCGCAAGCGUUGUCCGGAAUUAUUGGGCGUAAAGAGCUCGUAGGCGGCUUGUCACGUCGGAUGUGAAAGCCCGGGGCUUAACCCCGGGUCUGCAUUCGAUACGGGCUAGCUAGAGUGUGGUAGGGGAGAUCGGAAUUCCUGGUGUAGCGGUGAAAUGCGCAGAUAUCAGGAGGAACACCGGUGGCGAAGGCGGAUCUCUGGGCCAUUACUGACGCUGAGGAGCGAAAGCGUGGGGAGCGAACAGGAUUAGAUACCCUGGUAGUCCACGCCGUAAACGUUGGGAACUAGGUGUUGGCGACAUUCCACGUCGUCGGUGCCGCAGCUAACGCAUUAAGUUCCCCGCCUGGGGAGUACGGCCGCAAGGCUUAUACUCAAAGGAAUUGACGGGGGCCCGCACAAGCAGCGGAGCAUGUGGCUUAAUUCUACGCAACGCGAAGAACCUUACCAAGGCUUGACAUAUACC